UGUGUGUGUGUGUGUGUGUUUCUAUGUUUCUAUGUUUCUGUGUUUCUGUGUGUGUCUGAUCCCAAAUGUCUUUGUUUCAGAAGCCAAGGAAAGAGUGAUGUUGUACACACACACACACACACAGUUGUUUAGUGAAGAAAUAGGAGCUGCUUUUUUUUUUUUUUUUUUUUUUUUUUUAGUUCAUCACAUUUUAGGUUUAAAGAUAUUUAUCUUGCUUUUGCAAUCAGGCCUUAACUUGGAUUUUUUGUUUAUUUCUGUUCUUCAACAUUGAGCUUUUCCUGAGCCAGUUAAAAGGGUUUGAAAACUGCACAAUGUUGUGACAGGUACUUUUGUAACUCAUACAUAAGCAGAAAUUGAUUUGACUGGAGGCACUGAGGAGCUGCACUGAAUCCUUGCGACGUCUGUUGGAAGCUGUUGGGUUACUGAGGGAGUGGGGCACUAUUUAUUAGUGAAACUGAUGCAAUAAAGUGUCAAGUAGUUCUCGUUUUUUAAGUGUCUGAGAUCAUUGGAUGAGAAGGGGGAUCCACACAUCUUGAAAAAUUGACAAUGACAAAUGUGGUUGUUUAGACUGCUCAACAAAUAUUUCACAAUUGUUUUAUUAAAAUAAAAAUGCAAUAGAAAUUCAGUCAUUGACUUACAUUUGGAAUAAUAUUAAGAAUAAUUUUCGUUUAGUUUUAUGUACAUUAUAUACAAAUUGUUCAGGUACAGGAGACGUUCAGUGAGUGCUUAGAAUAAUGAUGACAGAUCCCAAACAAUGCUAAGUGCCUGUGUGGAGUAACCAGUCACAGUAUGUAAGGUGAGCAGUAUUGAUCUGAUGCAUCCACAUAAAGUCACAAUGGUGUAGACAGUGCGUCUGUAGUUCCUCCACAGAGCUGACAGGGCUGAUAGUGCCACGUGGAUGAGGUCUAACAUGGUGAUGCAAGCUGACAAUGAACAUCGGCAGAGCGCAGGCACGACAUGCAGCAGGGAUUGGAUGGACUUCAGCCACGUCACAGAUCUCCCUCCACAGCACAGCGGAGAGCAGCCGCCGUUUCUGAACGCCUGUGAUGAAGGCCAGGCAGAGCAGCUGAAGCGUCCAUGUUGGUCCAACUCCUCUCGCGAGUAGAGCACACCUGCCAUCAUCAGCCUGAGGAGCAUGUUCAGCCUCAGCAUGGUUGACAGCUGCGGAGUAAUUACAGAAGACAGCCGUGGCUCUUAACAAAGACAGUCUCCAUUCUCCAACCAUGGGGAGCAUUGUGGAUAGUUAUUCGUCUAAAAGUGCGUCACAUAAAGCAUGUAAGAUCCUCUGUGCAGCAGCAGAUGCACCAGCCAAGUUCUUCACCGGAACCACAGCUGCUUUAAUCAAGGAAGCCAUGUCAGUGAGCCACCACGGACAAAACCAGGAGCCUGAACUGCAACACCUGAUUGGAUCGGAGCCAGCAAGAAUAGGAUUUAAAGAGCGACGUGCCUGUGUUGAAUGUUGAUGGCCUCACCAAAGUACCCAAGACUAAAGUGAAGAAAACCCUCCCUCUGGAUACUAGACGGCUCUGCUGCCAGGAUCUCGAUACAUGACUUCUUCAGGAUCUGAGGAGAGGAGCAGAAGGUCCCAGCACAAACAGCCCAGCCAACAGGCUGAAACACUGGAACAUCUGGAGCUAAUGGAGAAAGGGCAGAGCAGACAUGGAGAAGAGAGAGGAGAGGAGAGGAGAGGAGAGAUCAGGCAGACACUGCAUGAGGACAGUGAGGGUAGGUGGAGGACAUCACUGCUAAAAGGCAAGCUAAAUUCCUGCCUGAGGAAAAGGAAGUAAAAGGAAGAGCUAAUACACUCCACUGAUGCCCAACAAUAAAUGCUGAAUAAAUGCUGUCAGGUCACGCAUGUAAUGUAAAUCUGUGUUGUUAAAACAUGGCUCAUGCUAACAAUUACUCUGUGUUACAUACAGUUGCCUAAUUUCCCCUCAGAGGAACAGCAGUGUGCCUGCAGUUGGCAUUGAUAUGUAACUGUAGGACAACUGGAAAAUCCAUCACCAUUACUGGAGGUAGAGACUCUAAACUGUGGAGCUAUAAGAGAGGGACAUAGUGCAGACUGCAAUCCACCAACUCCAGUCUUCCAGAUAAGAGAAAAUCUGAGUUGGAUGUUGAAUUUGUUGUUGACCUAGUUGGAAAACAUUUUUGGCUCAUGGCAAAAAAAAAAAAAGUAAUAAAAACAAGCUGUUUUAAACCAGGUUUGCAAAAAAAAGAUGUCAUAAGGUAAAUAUUCUGUCACGGUCCAAAGGCAACAGUCUGGGUAAGUUGAUUGUUAGUGCCAGAGUAGCUGUGUGCAUAUUUACCUACAAAAUAAAGUGCUUUCCCUACAAGUCCUAGUCAGGAAAACUCAGUAAACACUCAAGUAUGACACUUGACAUUUUUGAGAACUGCUUUUCUUUGACUCACUUUGCUGAUUACCAACUUCCUGUUUGGCACGGAAAUAAAGUUUUGUUUACAAAUGCAAAUGAAAAUUCAACCACAAUAAGACAUUAAAGGCCAUGUCAUGCCUCAUCAAAAAUGUUAUUAUUUUGAUUCACUGUGGUUCACUGUGAUAGCUUUGAUCAGGUGCCUAUGUUGCAUGACUAAAGGGAAACGAGAGAUCACCAAAAACCAGGUUAGAUAAACAUGGAAACUGUUUCUAAAUUGAGACCAAUAUAUCCAAAUGAC
Long non-coding RNA from Seriola aureovittata, 2670 nucleotides. RefSeq lists it as uncharacterized. The record is from RefSeq and is a predicted model, not a curated record. The transcript has 6 exons. Lineage: Eukaryota; Metazoa; Chordata; Actinopteri; Carangiformes; Carangidae.